This is a non-coding RNA of Pelobates cultripes (western spadefoot toad), 442 nucleotides long. NCBI's taxonomy places the organism in Eukaryota, Metazoa, Chordata, Amphibia, Anura, Pelobatidae. The record is from the annotation of a GenBank genome assembly.
GAGACAAAGAGAAGUACUGGGAAAAGGGGAACAGGAGACACACAAAGGGGUUGGAGGAAGAAAGAUACACAGUUGGGCUGAGAAAGAAUGAGACAAAGGGGGAUGGAGAGAAAGAGACAAACAUAGGUGCUGGGAAAAGGGGAACAAGUGACACACAAAGGGGCUGGGUAAAGGGGAACAAGAGACACACAUAGGAGCUGGAGAAGAGGAGAAAUAAACAAAGGGGCUGAGGCUGACAGACACACAAAAGGGGCUUGGGGAGAAAUACACACAGAAGGACUUGAGAAGAGUAAAAAUUGAAACACAAAGUUUCUGGAAGGAAGUAAGAGAUGCACAAAGGGGUGGGUUGUAAGAGACACACAAGAGGGGUGUAAGACACAGAAAUGGGAAAAAUGUGUGGAUAAUAUAUUCUAAUGUGGGUAAGACAAUCAAAAGAGGUGAU